RNAcentral lists this ribosomal RNA (474 nucleotides) under uncultured organism. RNAcentral's name for it is "partial 16S ribosomal RNA". It matches the Rfam family "Bacterial small subunit ribosomal RNA", at positions 332 to 797 of the family's 1533-position model. The record is from RNAcentral.
UACACUCCUACGGGAGGCAGCAGUGGGGAAUUUUGGACAAUGGGCGAAAGCCUGAUCCAGCAAUGCCGCGUGAGUGAAGAAGGCCUUCGGGUUGUAAAGCUCUUUUGUCAGGGAAGAAACGGUGAGAGCUAAUAUCUCUUGCUAAUGACGGUACCUGAAGAAUAAGCACCGGCUAACUACGUGCCAGCAGCCGCGGUAAUACGUAGGGUGCAAGCGUUAAUCGGAAUUACUGGGCGUAAAGCGUGCGCAGGCGGUUUUGUAAGUCUGAUGUGAAAUCCCCGGGCUCAACCUGGGAAUUGCAUUGGAGACUGCAAGGCUAGAAUCUGGCAGAGGGGGGUAGAAUUCCACGUGUAGCAGUGAAAUGCGUAGAUAUGUGGAGGAACACCGAUGGCGAAGGCAGCCCCCUGGGUCAAGAUUGACGCUCAUGCACGAAAGCGUGGGGAGCAAACAGGAUUAGAAACCCUAGUAGUCCCA